This 423-nucleotide ribosomal RNA is filed under the name uncultured bacterium. RNAcentral describes it as "bacterial SSU rRNA". It matches the Rfam family "Bacterial small subunit ribosomal RNA", at positions 355 to 774 of the family's 1533-position model. The record is from RNAcentral.
UAGGGAAUAUUGGACAAUGGGGGGAACCCUGAUCCAGCCAUGCCGCGUGGAGGAAGACUGCCCUCUGGGUUGUAAACUCCUUUUAUAUGGGAAGAACCGUCCUAAUUGAUGAGUGCCCUGACGGUACCAUAGGAAUAAGCACCGGCUAACUCCGUGCCAGCAGCCGCGGAAUUCCGGAGGGUCAAGCCGUUAUCCGGAUUCACUGGGUUUAAAGGGUGCGUAGGCGGAUAUGUAAGUCAGUGGUGAAAUCAACGGGCUCAACCUGUUAACUGCCAUUGAUACUGUGUAUCUUGAAUAUGAGAGAGGUAGGCGGAAUGUUGCAUGUAGCGGUGAAAUGCUUAGAUAUGCUACGGAACACCGAUUGCGAAGGCAGCUUACUAUUUCGUAAUUGACGCUGAGGCACGAAAGCGUGGGUAGCGAACA